AUGGAGUCAAAGUUCUUCCGGUUUCUAAAACUCGUUGGAGUUGGCUUCAAAGCAAGGACAGAGGGCGAAGGCCGUGAGCUGUUCCUGAAGCUGGGCUACAGCCAUGAGGUGCAGUUCACCGCCCCACCCGCUGUCCGCGUCUUCUGCUUCAAGCCCAACAUCGUGUGCUGCACCGGCUUAGACAAGAACAGAGUGCACCACUUCGCCGGCGCCGUCCGGAACUGCAAGCCGCCGGAGGUGUACAAGGGCAAGGGCAUACUGUACAUCAAUGAAGUGAUGCAUAGGCGUGGGAUGAAGCGCAAGUGA
RNAcentral lists this ribosomal RNA (306 nucleotides) under Triticum aestivum (bread wheat). Its description in RNAcentral is "partial small subunit ribosomal RNA". The record is from RNAcentral. Lineage: Eukaryota; Viridiplantae; Streptophyta; Magnoliopsida; Poales; Poaceae.